This 687-nucleotide ribosomal RNA is filed under the name uncultured Mycena. Its description in RNAcentral is "eukaryotic LSU rRNA". The stretch from base 271 to 424 matches the Rfam family "5.8S ribosomal RNA". The record is from RNAcentral. Lineage: Eukaryota; Fungi; Basidiomycota; Agaricomycetes; Agaricales; Tricholomataceae.
UCCGUAGGUGAACCUGCGGAAGGAUCAUUUAUUGAAUACGAUUGGUGCUGUUGCUGGCUUCUUCACUGAGGCAUGUGCACGCCCAUCUAUUUAUCUUCUCUUGUGCACAUUUUGUAGUCUUGAAUCGAAACCUCUCGCAGCAAUGCGGUUUGGGAGAUUGGUGCUUCACGGCGCCUUCUCCUGCUUCUUCAAGGCUACGUUUUCAUAUACACGUUAAAGUUACAGAAUGUCUUUUAACGAUUGUGCUUGUCGCAGUCAUUAAACCUAUACAACUUUCAGCAACGAAUCUCUUGGCUCUCCCAUCGAUGAAGAACGCAGCGAAAUGCGAUAAGUAAUGUGAAUUGCAGAAUUCAGUGAAUCAUCGAAUCUUUGGACGCACCUUGCGCCCUUUGGUAUUCCGAAGGGCAUGCCUGUUUGAGUGUCAUUAAAUUAUCAACCUUGUUCGCUUUUCGGAGCUUGAGCGAGGCUUGGAUGUGAGGGUUUUUGCUGGCUUCCUUCAGUGGAUGGUCUGCUCCCUUUAAAUGCAUUAGUGGGAUCUCUUUUGUGGACCGUCACUUGGUGUGAUAAUUAUCUAUGCCAUUGACUUGCUUAACGAGAAUCUGCUUAUAACCGUCUCGCAAGGGACAACACUUUAUUGACAAUUUGACCUCAAAUCAGGUAGGACUACCCGCUGAACUUAAGCAUAUC